This 435-nucleotide ribosomal RNA is filed under the name Triticum aestivum (bread wheat). RNAcentral's name for it is "partial small subunit ribosomal RNA". The record is from RNAcentral. Lineage: Eukaryota; Viridiplantae; Streptophyta; Magnoliopsida; Poales; Poaceae.
AUGGAUAUUCAGGUACAGCAAGAGCAAAAGGAUGGAGGUUCUGGAGGUGGGAAAGCUGGUAAGAAUAAGAAAAAGAACAAGAGAAGGAAGGAUCCUAAGAACCUCCCAAAGGCUGACCCUGAACAUGUAAAUAAGGAGGAAGGUGCCUGUGUGAUUCCAUGCAAUGCGGGUGCUGUUAAUAAUAUUUCUAGAGCUCCUUGCCCAAGUUCAGAUGUGCAAGAUGAUAAUGAGUACCCCUUUGAAGAUGGUGAUCUUGAUGAUGGACUUGAUCCUGCAAUGCAGGAAGAGCUUGAUAGGGAAGUUGAAGAUUUCGCUAGGAGGCUCAAUUCGGUUUGGCCUGAAAGAAUGCAUUUGGGUCAAGAGAGAAGAAUUGAGUCGCAGCUGAUUGGUGGUAAUGGUUCUCUGCAGAGAUUUUCUGGGUUCAAUCACAGGUGA